UGCCAGCAGCCGCGGUAAUACGGAGGGUGCAAGCGUUGUCCGGAUUUAUUGGGUUUAAAGGGUGCGUAGGCGGGUCUUUAAGUCCGUGGUGAAAGCCCAUCGCUCAACGAUGGAACUGCCAUGGAUACUGGAGGCCUUGAAUUCAGUUGAGGUAGGCGGAAUUGAUGGUGUAGCGGUGAAAUGCAUAGAUACCAUCAGGAACACCGAUUGCGAAGGCAGCUUACUGGGCUUGAAUUGACGCUGAGGCACGAAAGCGUGGGGAGCGAACAGGAUUAGAUA
This 279-nucleotide ribosomal RNA is filed under the name uncultured bacterium. Its description in RNAcentral is "partial 16S ribosomal RNA". It matches the Rfam family "Bacterial small subunit ribosomal RNA", at positions 506 to 784 of the family's 1533-position model. The record is from RNAcentral.